UAUACUAAUUAAGAGUAGUAUAAAUUAUAAAUAAUAAAAAUCAAAUUAAUAAUACAAAAAGUCCAUCAGUGCAAAGUACAUGUUGAUCCAUAAAGCAACAACAUAAAAUAACAACUUAUUUCAAACAUUCAAAAAAGCAACAACAUAAAGCAAAAAGUUGUUUCAAGCAUUCCAAAAAGCAACAUCAUAAAGUAACAAGUAGGUUCAAGCAUUACAAAAAGCAACAUCAUAAAGUAACAUGUAUUUUCAAGCAUUCCAAAAAUCAACUACAUAAAGUAACAGGUGAUUGCACUAGAACAUAACAAAUGUUGCUAUUUCUAUUAUGGAUUCGUUUAUGGUUGUGUAUGGGUUGUUUAACAUAUGAUCAGUAUGGUUCUAUACAUUAUUGGUUUGAAAUACAAUAAUUAUUUUUGUUGAUUCACCAUGAUUGUGUUGUGUUGAUUGUGGUUAGUGAUUAAAACUACCUAUAAUCAUUACUUAGUAAGAAUUGUGGGUGACGUUUCAUGUAUUUAUUUUGUUUGUCUCAAUUUAGUUGUCCUGAAUGAAUAUUUUGUAAUGUAAAAUUCAUUUUUAAUGUAAGGAACACAUUGGUUAAGUGAAAUUUUUGAAAUGUAGAAUUUACUGUUAAUGUAAGCUGAAGUAGAUAGAGAUUCGAUUGGACAGAAUCGGCUCAGUGUUGAUAUUUACAAGCAUGAAGUUGUCCUUUUGUGCUUUUGACUGAAUGAUAUAUAGUAUUUAUGCAAACGUAUUAACUUUUUG
RNAcentral lists this long non-coding RNA (759 nucleotides) under Panax ginseng (ginseng). RNAcentral describes it as "long non-coding RNA (PGIN_LNC004668)". Lineage: Eukaryota; Viridiplantae; Streptophyta; Magnoliopsida; Apiales; Araliaceae. The record is from RNAcentral.